AAAAUCCGUUGAUUUUUAAAAUCAUGAGGGUUCAAGUCCC
Molecule: transfer RNA, 40 nt
Filed under: Carex bequaertii
Lineage: Eukaryota; Viridiplantae; Streptophyta; Magnoliopsida; Poales; Cyperaceae
Description: partial tRNA-Leu
Source: RNAcentral